AGAGUUUGAUCCUGGCUCAGAACGAACGCUGGCGGCGUGCUUAACACAUGCAAGUCAGGGAGAAAGUCUCUUCGGGGAUGAUUAAACCGGCGCACGGGUGAGUAACACGUGAGUGACCUGCCUUUUAGACUGGAACAACUUACCGAAAGGUGAGCUAAUGCCGGAUGAGUUAUAUAAGUGCAUGUUUAUAUAGGAAAAGUUGGGGAGACCUGACGCUGAAAGAUGGACUCGCGUCCCAUUAGCUAGUUGGUAGGGUAAUGGCCUACCAAGGCGACGAUGGGUAGCCGGCCUGAGAGGGUGGCCGGCCACACUGGGACUGAGACACGGCCCAGACUCCUACGGGAGGCAGCAGUGGGGAAUUUUGCGCAAUGCUCGUAAGAGUGACGCAGCGACGCCGCGUGAAUGACGAAGGCCUUCGGGUCGUAAAGUUCUUUCGACAGGGAAGAAAAUGCCUAUAAGUAACUGUGUAUGUAUUGACGGUACCUGUA
This 488-nucleotide ribosomal RNA is filed under the name uncultured bacterium. RNAcentral's name for it is "bacterial SSU rRNA". It matches the Rfam family "Bacterial small subunit ribosomal RNA", at positions 8 to 483 of the family's 1533-position model. The record is from RNAcentral.